Molecule: ribosomal RNA, 1455 nt
Filed under: Triticum aestivum (bread wheat)
Lineage: Eukaryota; Viridiplantae; Streptophyta; Magnoliopsida; Poales; Poaceae
Description: partial small subunit ribosomal RNA
Source: RNAcentral
AUGUUGUCUCGUCAGGCAUGGAGGUUGAUACAACAUCCCAACUCGCUCUGCGCUAAGAUCUUGAAGGCCAAGUACUACCUUGAUGGCCGGCUGCUUGAGGCCCAACCUGCUGCGGGCAUCUCCUACGCUUGGCGGAGCUUGCUUCACGGAGCACAACUAGUACGGGAGGGUUGCAUUUGGAGGAUUGGAGAUGGUGCAGAGAUUAACAUAUGGACGGAUCCUUGGAUCCCCCGGCCAUGGUCAAGAACCGUGAUCACACCUCGCAGACAAUGCCUCCUUCAGCGUGUUAGUGAACUUAUUGAUCCAUAUUCAGCCACAUGGGAUGAGCAGUUGGUUCGAGACACGUUUUGGCCUGAUGAUGUGGCACAUAUUCUCCAUAUCCCUCUCAGAGAUGGUGCCCAAGACUUCAUGGCGUGGCAGUAUGAUACUAAAGGAGCCCACUCGGUGAAGAGUGCGUAUAAGCUAUAUGUUCAGCUUGAGAAAACACGAAAGGACGGAGGUGUUGGAGCGAGCUCCACAGUUCCUGGCAAUCUGAAUAGCACAACAGACGACUCCUGGAAGAGAAUUUGGAAGCUCCCUUGCCCAAGGAACAUACAAAUGUUCGCAUGGAGGAUUAAACAUGAAUACCUUGUGCUGCGCACUACAGUUGCACGUCGAGGGAUUCCCAUUGGAGACACAAAAUGCUUAUUCUGCAGCAGAGGAGAGGAGGAUGGGGCUCACCUGUUUAUCAAAUGCAAGUUUGUAAAGGAGGUUUGGCGGGAUCUUGCCCUGGAAAAGGAAAGGAGUGAUCUAGAGAAGAUUGAGGGCGUGCAUGCAAUGUUUGACUACAUUUGGGGGCUGCAUGAAAACAAAAGAUUGCAUAUUCUUACCUCCUGGUGGCUAUGGUGGGCCAACAGAAAUAAGGCGAGGGAGGGUGAGCUACCCCUCUCACCAGCGAAGGUGGCUAGAAGAACAAGAGGCAGUGUCCUCGAGUACGUGGAGAUCUUUUCCUCCAAGGGCCAAGUGCCGAAACCUGAGAAGUGGCGGCCACCAUGUGAAGACGUCUACAAGAUCAAUGUGGAUGGCUCGAGCGUGCCGGGACAGCAGCACUCAGGAUGGGGUAUUGCAGUGAGGGUGGCGGAUGGAUCUCUGGUGCACGCGCGAGCGGGAAGACAGGAACACACGGCGGAUGCAUUUGCAGCUGAGGUUUCCGCCAUGGGUCAUGCAAUCUCAACCGCAGCCGAACUAGGUAUGAUGGUGGAGUUUGAAACGGACUCUCAACUGCUGGCUGAAGCCCUGGAUGCUCGAAAGGUGGACUCUUCGGCAUAUGCCGUCACUCUUGACGACAUGAAAUACCAACUCAAGUUAUGGUUUUCCUUUUUUUCAAUCUCUGUCUGUAGACGAACGGCAAACUCUGUGGCACACGAGCUCGCCAAUAUUGGUCGUCUAUGCGAACCUGACCAAUGUUUGGUCUGA